AAUAUUGGACAAUGGGGGCAACCCUGAUCCAGCCAUGCCGCGUGUGUGAAGAAGGUCUUCGGAUUGUAAAGCACUUUAAGUUGGGAGGAAGGGCUUUAGGCUAAUACCCUGAAGUUUUGACGUUACCAACAGAAUAAGCACCGGCUAACUUCGUGCCAUCAGCCGCGGUAAUACAGAGGGUGCAAGCGUUAAUCGGAAUUACUGGGCGUAAAGCGCGCGUAGGUGGUUUGUUAAGUUGGAAGUGAAAGCCCCGGGCUCAACCUGGGAACUGCUUUCAUAACUGCUGAGCUAGAGUACGGUAGAGGGUAGUGGAAUUUCCUGUGUAGCGGUGAAAUGCGUAGAGAUCUGGAGGAAUACCGAUGGCGAAGGCAGCCUUCUGGCAUCAUACUGACACUGAGGUGCGAAAGCGUGGGGAGCAAAC
This 421-nucleotide ribosomal RNA is filed under the name uncultured bacterium. RNAcentral's name for it is "partial 16S ribosomal RNA". It matches the Rfam family "Bacterial small subunit ribosomal RNA", at positions 360 to 773 of the family's 1533-position model. The record is from RNAcentral.